RNAcentral lists this small RNA (28 nucleotides) under Bombyx mori (domestic silkworm). RNAcentral's name for it is "ovarian small RNA-31648". Lineage: Eukaryota; Metazoa; Arthropoda; Insecta; Lepidoptera; Bombycidae. The record is from RNAcentral.
UGACCUUCACCGCGGGGAAACUGCCUCC